AAGUCGUAACAAGGUUUCCGUAGGUGAACCUGCGGAAGGAUCAUUAUUGAUUUAUAUCCUUUUAUUAUGAACUACGAACGUCCUACUUUGAGUCAUUCCCGUAAGGGGUGAUGAGAAGAAAGACGAAUGUGAAGAGUGAAAUGUCUUUUCUCUUUUCCUUUGGGGAAAGAGAACUUUUUAAACAACCUCUGUUAAUGUUAACUUGGAGUUUUCAAAGGUCUUCAUCUCUUUACUGAGAGGUUGACUCCAAAAAAACACUUACACAACUUUUAACGGUGGAUCUCUUGGCUCGU
RNAcentral lists this unclassified non-coding RNA (293 nucleotides) under Phylloporus sp. Its description in RNAcentral is "partial contains small subunit ribosomal RNA, internal transcribed spacer 1, and 5.8S ribosomal RNA". The stretch from base 1 to 46 matches the Rfam family "Eukaryotic small subunit ribosomal RNA", at positions 1786 to 1831 of the family's 1831-position model. The record is from RNAcentral. Lineage: Eukaryota; Fungi; Basidiomycota; Agaricomycetes; Boletales; Boletaceae.